AGUGAACGCUGGCGGUAGGCCUAACACAUGCAAGUCGAACGGCAGCACAGUAAGAGCUUGCUCUUACGGGUGGCGAGUGGCGGACGGGUGAGGAAUACAUCGGAAUCUACUUUUUCGUGGGGGAUAACGUAGGGAAACUUACGCUAAUACCGCAUACGACCUACGGGUGAAAGCAGGGGAUCUUCGGACCUUGCGCGAUUGAAUGAGCCGAUGUCGGAUUAGCUAGUUGGCGGGGUAAAGGCCCACCAAGGCGACGAUCCGUAGCUGGUCUGAGAGGAUGAACCGCCAAACUGGAACUGGAACACGGGCCAGACUCCUACGGGAGGCAGCAGUGGGGAAUAUUGGACAAUGGGCGCAAGCCUUAUCCAGCCAUACCGCGUGGGUGAAGAAGGCCUUCGGGUUGUAAAGCCCUUUUGUUGGGAAAGAAAAUCAGCAGGUUAAUACCCCGCUGUUCUGACGGUACCCAAAGAAUAAGCACCGGCUAACUUCGUG
Molecule: ribosomal RNA, 492 nt
Filed under: uncultured bacterium
Lineage: Bacteria
Description: partial 16S ribosomal RNA
Rfam family: Bacterial small subunit ribosomal RNA
Source: RNAcentral